GACGAACGCUGGCGGCGUGCCUAAUACAUGCAAGUAGAACGCACAGUUUAUACCGUAGCUUGCUACACCGUAGACUGUGAGUUGCGAACGGGUGAGUAACGCGUAGGUAACCUGCCUGGUAGCGGGGGAUAACUAUUGGAAACGAUAGCUAAUACCGCAUAAUAUUAAUUAUUGCAUGAUAAUUAAUUGAAAGGUGCAAUUGCACCACUACCAGAUGGACCUGCGUUGUAUUAGCUAGUAGGUGAGGUAACGGCUCACCUAGGCGACGAUACAUAGCCGACCUGAGGGGGUGAUCGGCCACACUGGGACUGAGACACGGCCCAGACUCCUACGGGAGGCAGCAGUAGGGAAUCUUCGGCAAUGGACGAAAGUCUGACCGAGCAACGCCGCGUGAGUGAAGAAGGUUUUCGGAUCGUAAAGCUCUGUUGUAAGAGAAGAACGGGUGUGAGAGUGGAAAGUUCACACUGUGACGGUAUCUUACCAGAAAGGGACGGCUAACUACGUG
RNAcentral lists this ribosomal RNA (505 nucleotides) under uncultured bacterium. Its description in RNAcentral is "partial 16S ribosomal RNA". It matches the Rfam family "Bacterial small subunit ribosomal RNA", at positions 28 to 507 of the family's 1533-position model. The record is from RNAcentral.